UGGACCUCUUACCGAUUAAGUUCCAAACCGACGGCUAAUUUUAUAUAUGCCAUAGAUUUCAUAUUUAAUUUGCUGUAGUAAUCAUAUAUCUACAAUCGUAAUUGGCUUCUGAUCGGUCUAAUGAACUCAAUCGGAUAGAAGAAGCUGGUGGUCGUUUGUAAUCAAAUUUCAAUGGUCCAAGAGUUCUUGCAGUUUUGCCUGUGUCUCGAAUUGGAGAAGCUCAGAUGCUCCGAUACGGAGGUGUGAGCGGCUGGUUGUGGAGGGCACAAGAAGAGGUAGAGGGCGGUUUAAGAAGUAUUGGGGA
Long non-coding RNA from Nicotiana tabacum (common tobacco), 304 nucleotides. RefSeq lists it as uncharacterized. Lineage: Eukaryota; Viridiplantae; Streptophyta; Magnoliopsida; Solanales; Solanaceae. The record is from RefSeq and is a predicted model, not a curated record.